CAGUAGCCGCGGGAAUACGAAGGGGGCUAGCGUUGUUCGGAUUUACUGGGCGUAAAGCGCACGUAGGCGGAUCGAUCAGUCAGGGGUGAAAUCCCAGAGCUCAACUCUGGAACUGCCUUUGAUACUGUCGAUCUGGAGUAUGGAAGAGGUGAGUGGAAUUCCGAGUGUAGAGGUGAAAUUCGUAGAUAUUCGGAGGAACACCAGUGGCGAAGGCGGCUCACUGGUCCAUUACUGACGCUGAGGUGCGAAAGCGUGGGGAGCAAACAGGAUUAGAUACCCCUGUAGUCCCUGUCUCUUAUAA
Molecule: ribosomal RNA, 301 nt
Filed under: uncultured bacterium
Lineage: Bacteria
Description: partial 16S ribosomal RNA
Rfam family: Bacterial small subunit ribosomal RNA
Source: RNAcentral